This 599-nucleotide long non-coding RNA is filed under the name Phasianus colchicus (ring-necked pheasant). RNAcentral describes it as "lncRNA (ENSPCLG00000008726.1)". Lineage: Eukaryota; Metazoa; Chordata; Aves; Galliformes; Phasianidae. The record is from RNAcentral.
GAAUCCUUAGUUACCUCAGUUAUCUUCAGCUGAGAGCUCUCACUGAGAGAGUAAGGAGAUAAGGUGGUACAAAUCUGAUGAAGAAGGCUGGUGUUUAUGUCAAACCAUGAAAGGGUAAACAAACAGAAUUGCCAAGGUUGGAAAAGACCUUCAAGAUCAUCCAGGCCAACCAUCCACCUAUCACCAAUAGUACUCACUAAACCAUGUCCCUCAACACAAAAUCCAACUGCUCCUUGAACAACUCCAGGGUUGGUAACUCCACCACCUCCCUGGGCAGCCCAUUCCAGUGCUUGACCACUCUUUCAGAAAAGUAGUAUUUGUAUUUAUAAACAAUAGUGUAUGAAGGGUGUAUCCAGGUUGGGUCUACGCUGAAAGAUCAGUUGGCUUUGCCUGAAUUCAGUUUUUGUUCAGUAUGACAAAAGGUGAUCUUGUAAUGCACCUUCCAUUAUCAUGUGGAGGUAUGUGAAUGCAAGCAUUUAACUAAUACUAGAUACACUAUUUUUUUCAAAUACUUGCAUAUCCUGCACCUGACUUUUUAAUAGUAAUAUAAAAUUUGAUAGCAAAUGUAACUGAUUUAUUAGUCACUAUAAAUAUUUUUU